GCCGGCAGCUAGCUCUCUGCAACUCUCACAUGGUCGCCCACUGAAGCUCAGCAGGGCUGCGCCCGGUCAGUACCAGGAUGGGAGACCACAUGGCAAAGCUAGAUUGCUGCCAGAA
Molecule: non-coding RNA, 115 nt
Organism: Danio rerio (zebrafish)
Lineage: Eukaryota; Metazoa; Chordata; Actinopteri; Cypriniformes; Danionidae
Source: Rfam